RNAcentral lists this ribosomal RNA (465 nucleotides) under uncultured bacterium. RNAcentral's name for it is "partial 16S ribosomal RNA". It matches the Rfam family "Bacterial small subunit ribosomal RNA", at positions 28 to 507 of the family's 1533-position model. The record is from RNAcentral.
GACGAACGCUGGCGGCGUGCUUAACACAUGCAAGUCGAACGGAAAGGCCCCUUUGGGGGUACUCGAGUGGCGAACGGGUGAGUAACACGUGAGUAACCUGCCCUUGACUUCGGGAUAACUUCAGGAAACUGGGGCUAAUACCGGAUAGGAAUCCUUGCUGCAUGGUGGGGGUUGGAAAGCUUCGGCGGGUUUGGAUGGACUCGCGGCUUAUCAGCUUGUUGGUGGGGUAGUGGCUUACCAAGGCUUUGACGGGUAGCCGGCCUGAGAGGGCGACCGGCCACAUUGGGACUGAGAUACGGCCCAGACUCCUACGGGAGGUAGCAGUGGGGAAUAUUGCACAAUGGGCGGAAGCCUGAUGCAGCAACGCCGCGUGCGGGAUGACGGCCUUCGGGUUGUAAACCGCUUUCAGCAGGGGCGAAGCUUGUGGUGACGGUACCUGCAGAAGAAGCACCGGCUAACUACGUG